UACGGAGGGUGCGAGCGUUAAUCGGAAUUACUGGGCGUAAAGCGCACGUAGGUGGUUUGGUUAGUUGGAGGUGAAAGCCCGGAGCUCAACUUCGGAAUUGCCUUCAAUACUGCCGGACUCGAGGCAGGGAGAGGAGAGUGGAAUACCCAGUGUAGAGGUGAAAUUCGUAGAUAUUGGGUGGAACACCAGUGGCGAAGGCGGCUCUCUGGCCCUGUCCUGACACUGAGGUGCGAAAGCGUGGGGAGCAAACAGG
Molecule: ribosomal RNA, 253 nt
Filed under: uncultured bacterium
Lineage: Bacteria
Description: partial 16S ribosomal RNA
Rfam family: Bacterial small subunit ribosomal RNA
Source: RNAcentral